Long non-coding RNA from Drosophila nasuta, 495 nucleotides. RefSeq lists it as uncharacterized. NCBI's taxonomy places the organism in Eukaryota, Metazoa, Arthropoda, Insecta, Diptera, Drosophilidae. The record is from RefSeq and is a predicted model, not a curated record. The transcript is spliced from 3 exons.
CAGGUUUAUUGGGAAAACAUGUCGACAAUAUGCGACCAAAAUUCAGAUAAGAAAACUUUCAUAAUUUAUAUGAUUUGCAUGCAAAGUUUGUACUGUUAUCAGAAAGGCGCCAAGAAAAAGGAAUGACAAAGAAGAGCAAACAGAUAAUGCUUGAUAAAUGUGCGUACAAUGUGUGGAGGCCACACUGAAGGACGACGAGUUAACAACAUAAAGCGCCUUUUAACAGCACCCGCACCACAUCUCCUGAACUCUUCCCUUCCCCCCCGCUCAUCGCACAUUUCCACACCGCGCGCCUUGUGCGGCUUUUUAUAUGCAAAUUUGUUAAGGGUUAACAUUUGACUGAAGCGACAAAAUUGAUUGACAUUUUGCACCCUUGAGGCUGUUUUCAAUAUACCAAACGACUACCAAAAACACUCCUUCUCCCAUGCCAAGCAUUCUAGAGAGCGAGAGAUGAUUUUCUGCUGAUAAACCCUUUAAGCCAUUUUUAGUUUAUUG